UUUAAGUCUGAUGUGAAAUCUUGCGGCUCAACCGCAAGCGGUCAUUGGAAACUGGGAGGCUUGAGUACAGAAGAGGAGAGUGGAAUUCCACGUGUAGCGGUGAAAUGCGUAGAUAUGUGGAGGAACACCAGUGGCGAAGGCGACUCUCUGGUCUGUAACUGACGCUGAGGCGCGAAAGCGUGGGGAGCAAACAGGAUUAGAUACCCUGGUAGUCCACGCCGUAAACGAUGAGUGCUAGGUGUUAGGGGUUUCGAUGCCCGUAGUGCCGAAGUUAACACAUUAAGCACUCCGCCUGGGGAGUACGGCCGCAAGGCUGAAACUCAAAGGAAUUGACGGGGGCCCGCACAAGCAGUGGAGCAUGUGGUUUAAUUCGAAGCAACGCGAAGAACCUUACCAGGUCUUGACAUCCUUUGACCACUCUGGAGACAGAGCUUCCCCUUCGGGGGCAAAGUGACAGGUGGUGCAUGGUUGUCGUCAGCUCGUGUCGUGAGAUGUUGGGUUAAGUCCCGCAACGAGCGCAACCCUUGACCUUAGUUGCCAGCAUUAAGUUGGGCACUCUAAGGUGACUGCCGGUGACAAACCGGAGGAAGGUGGGGAUGACGUCAAAUCAUCAUGCCCCUUAUGACCUGGGCUACACACGUGCUACAAUGGAUGGUACAAAGGGUUGCGAAGCCGCGAGGUGAAGCCAAUCCCAUAAAGCCAUUCUCAGUUCGGAUUGUAGGCUGCAAACU
Molecule: ribosomal RNA, 731 nt
Rfam family: Bacterial small subunit ribosomal RNA